This 171-nucleotide ribosomal RNA is filed under the name uncultured rumen bacterium. Its description in RNAcentral is "partial 16S ribosomal RNA". It matches the Rfam family "Bacterial small subunit ribosomal RNA", at positions 338 to 525 of the family's 1533-position model. The record is from RNAcentral.
CCUACGGGAGGCAGCAGUCGGGAAUAUUGCGCAAUGGAGGAAACUCUGACGCAGUGACGCCGCGUGCAGGAAGAAGGUUUUCGGAUUGUAAACUGCUUUAGACAGGGAAGAAAAAAGACAGUACCUGUAGAAUAAGCUCCGGCUAACUACGUGCCAGCAGCCGCGGUAAUA